RNAcentral lists this ribosomal RNA (253 nucleotides) under uncultured bacterium. RNAcentral describes it as "partial 16S ribosomal RNA". It matches the Rfam family "Bacterial small subunit ribosomal RNA", at positions 524 to 776 of the family's 1533-position model. The record is from RNAcentral.
UACGAAGGGUGCAAACGUUGCUCGGAAUUAUUGGGCGUAAAGCGCACGUAGGCGGCAUUGCAAGUCGGAUGUGAAAUCCCUCGGCUUAACCAAGGAAGUGCAUCCGAAACUGCAGUGCUUGAGUACUUAAGAGGAUCGCGGAAUUCCCGGUGUAGAGGUGAAAUUCGUAGAUAUCGGGAGGAACACCGGUGGCGAAGGCGGGUCUCUGGGCCGACAUUGACGCUGAGGAGCGAAAGCGUGGGGAGCGAACAGG